Molecule: long non-coding RNA, 1505 nt
Filed under: Lynx pardinus (Iberian lynx)
Lineage: Eukaryota; Metazoa; Chordata; Mammalia; Carnivora; Felidae
Source: RNAcentral
GCUGGGGAACAGGUACUAUGUCAGUCCACUGUGCCUUUGGGGGAAAAUCUUCAGUAAAACUGGGGAAGGGUUUGGGAAAUGACAACUUCCCAAGCUUAUGGAUAAAGGAUUACACGAGAAAAAAACAAACAGGUUUUUCUGGAGUGGGCCACUGGGGCCUUGGCAGUGAGCCUGUGGAGGUGUCUUUAUAUCUGGGCCAAGUGUAUUUGCUGCUGCUGAUUUUUUUUUCUUCUAGUAAUUUUACAUUUACGGAAGAGUCGCAAAGAUAGUGUAGAGUUCUUAUCCAGCUUCCUGUAACGAUAACGUUUUUUAUAACCAGAGUACAGGUAUCAAAAGUAAGGAAUUAACAUUGGCACAGUCCUAUGAAUACAAUUGUAGACUUCAUUCAUAUUCCCCCAGUUUUUCCAUGAAAUGUCUUUCCAUACCACUUUGCAUGUAAAUGUUGUCUUAGUCUCUGGUCUGUGACAUUUUCUUGGUCUUUCUUGGUCUUUCAUUGCCUUAACAACUUUUUCUUCAUCAUCUACAUCAUCAUCCUCUCUUUUAAUUCUGUUUUUCAUUAUUUAUUUUUGAAAAGGAGAGGAUGUCAGUGGGCAGAGGCAGAGAGAGAGAGAGAGAGAGAGAGAGAGAGAAUCCCCCUACAUGGGACUCAAUCCAUGUGCCCCGGGAUCAUGACCUGAGCUGUAACCAAGAGUCAGACGCUUAACUGACUGAGCCACCCAGAUGCUCCUAAGUUAUUGGAUUGUUUUCUUGAGAUAUAUUUUACAUACUACAAAAUUCACUAACUCCAAAGGUACAAUUCGGUGAUUUGUAGUGUAUUUUUACAGAGUUGUUCAGCCUUUAAACAUAAAUAAGGAAGUAUUCAUAGGAACAGUUCCGAAAAAUCAAAAGCCCCCUCACCUCACAAACCUUUUGUCCUAGAAGUAACCGUAUCAUUUGAUGCAUACAUCCUUGUCAGCCUUCUUGAAUAUAUGCAUAUGUGUGCUUAUGAAAACGUACAAUUUUGUUGUGUAUGGUUAAAAAUACAACCAAAUGGAAUUAUGCUUUAUCUGUAUUGUGUUUUCACUUAAGAUCAUGGGGACAUUUUCCAGGUCAGCAAGCUCAGGGACGCUGAGCCUUCUUACCUGCUGUGUGGUGGUGGAAGAGGUCCUCUCCGAGUGUACCUUGUGGUCACCUCCAGUGUGUCUUCAUCACAAACAAUAUCUUUUUUUUUUCUUAACGUAAUUUGUUGUCAAAUUGGCUAACAUACAGUGUGUACCGUGUGCUCUUGGUUUUGGGGGUAGAUUCCCAUCGUCGAUUGCUUACAUACAAUACCCAGUGUUCAUGCAAACAGUUGCCCUCCUCAAUGCCCAUCACCCAUUUUCCCCUUUCCCCAGCCCCCUCCCAUCAACCCUCCAUUUGAUCUCUGUAUUUAAGAGUCUCUAAUGGUUUGCCUCCCUCCCUCCUGUUUGUAACUAUUUUUCCCCUUCCCUUCCCCAGUGGUCUUCGGUUAAGUUUCUCAAGUUCCA